UGAAGAGUAAAAAUACGGGCGUUAAGUGUUGGCUGAACGGGGAGUUGUCGGUCAAACGAAAAAUCCUAUGGAUUUGCGGUUCGUGUUUUGCAUCCCGCUUCA
This is a regulatory RNA element of Ruminococcus sp. CAG:624, 102 nucleotides long. It matches the Rfam family "THF (Tetrahydrofolate) riboswitch aptamer". Rfam says of the family: THF riboswitch presents a pseudoknot that joins P1-P2 and the loop of P3 and two THF binding. The record is from Rfam. NCBI's taxonomy places the organism in Bacteria, Bacillati, Bacillota, Clostridia, Eubacteriales, Oscillospiraceae.